RNAcentral lists this long non-coding RNA (3267 nucleotides) under Setaria viridis. Its description in RNAcentral is "long non-coding RNA (SVIR_LNC001911)". The record is from RNAcentral. Lineage: Eukaryota; Viridiplantae; Streptophyta; Magnoliopsida; Poales; Poaceae.
CUUAACCGUACGUAGCAUGGCCAUGCAUUUUCGGAUCCGAUCACUCGAGGGGCCCAGAGAUAUCACUCUCAAUCAGAGAGGGGCAAAUCCCAUCUUGAUUGACCAUGUCUCAUAGCAUGCUUCUUGACAAACCCGAAAGCUACCUUUAUAACUACCCUGUUACGGCGUAGCGUUUGAUGGCCCCUAAGUAGGUCGAUCCACAUCUAGAAUACAUGCGACAAUCUCAGGUCUAAGGACAAAGCGUAUAUGUUGUUUAAAGAGAGAACUACUUCUCGUGUUGGGUCAGUCCCAACACAUGUCUCCACAUGUGUUCACAUUAUUAGUUCAACAUCUCCAUGUCCAUGACUUGUGAAACAUAGUCAUCAACUAAUACAUGUGCUAGUCUAAUAUUCAUGUGUGUCCUCACAUGAACUCCGACUAGGGACAACUUUAGAAUAACCAUACAAGUAAAGAGUUUCACAUACAAUUCACAUAAUUGCAAAUCAAUUCAAGUAGCCUUUAAUGGAUAUUCAAUGAACACAAUAUACAAAUCAUGGAUACAAAUGGAAUAUCAUCAUCUCUAUGAUUGCCUCUAGGGCAUACCUCCAACAGUCUCCCACUUGCACUAGAGUCAAUCUAGAAGGUACCUAAUACCCAUAGCUCUUACAUGCGCAUCAUGCUUAGCUUGCGGGAGUGGUUUUGUCAACGGAUCAGAAAUGUUCAGAUCCGUGUGUAUUUUGCAUAUCUUGAUCUCACCCCGAUUAACGAAGUCUCGAAUAAGAUGAAAUCGCCGCAUUACGUGUUUGUUCUUCUGGUGGUUCCUUGGCUCCUUUGCUUGCGCAAUUGCCCCAUUGUUAUCACAGUAGAGAUUCAAUGGGCUGGACGCAUUCGGGAACACACCAAGCUCAAUGAGGAAAUUCCUUAUCCAAACACCUUCCUUCGCGGCUUCCGAAGCCGCGAUGUACUCGGCUUCUGUCGUAGAAUCGGCCACCGUCUCCUGCUUGGAACUCUUCCAACUAAUAGCACCACCAUUCAGCGUGAACACAAAUCCUGAUUGUGACUUUGAAUCAUCUCUGUCGGUUUGGAAACUAGCAUCGGUGUAACCUGUUACAACGAGCUCCUCCUCACCUCCAUAGACGAGGAACAUAUCUUUAGUCCUUCUCAAGUACUUAAGAAUGUUUUUCACCGCUGUCCAGUGACUCUCACCUGGAUCAGAUUGGUGUCUGCUUGUCAUACUUAGCGCAUAUGAAACAUCUGGGCGAGUACUUAUCAUUGCAUACAUGAUAGAUCCAAUAGCCGAGGCAUAUGGCACUCUACUCAUGCGAUCCCGCUCAUCAGCAGUCGAAGGACACUGAGUCUUGCUGAGAUGUAUGCCAUGUGACAUAGGCAAGAACCCUUUCUUUGCCUCUUCCAUGCUGAACCGCUUCAACACUUUGUCAAUGUAAGUAUCUUGGCUUAAACCUAUAAGCCUUCUCGAUCUAUCUCUAUAGAUCUUAAUGCCCAGAAUAUAUGCCGCUUCCCCUAAGUCCUUCAUCGAAAAACUAUUUUUUAGUGAAGUCUUUACGGACUCAAGCAUAGGAAUGUUAUUUCCAAUCAGUAAUAUGUCAUCCACAUAUAAGAUUAGAAAUACUACAGAGCUCCCACUAACCUUCUUGUAAACACAAGACUCUUCUUCGUUCUUGGUGAAGUCAAACCCUUUGACCACUUCAUCAAAACGAAUGUUCCAACUCCUAGAUGCUUGCUUCAAUCCAUAAAUGGAUCUCUGAAGCUUGCAUACCUUUCCAGCAUUUUUCGGAUCGACAAAACCCUCGGGCUGUAUCAUAUACACGUCCUCAGCUAGGUUUCCAUUCAGGAAAGCUGUCUUGACAUCCAUCUGCCAUAUCUCAUAAUCGAAAUAUGCAGCUAUAGCUAGAAUAAUCCGAAUGGACUUAAGCAUCACUACGGGCGAGAAGGUCUCGUCGUAGUCAACUCCUUGAACUUGUCGAAAACCUUUUGCGACAAGUCGUGCUUUAUAGAUGUGAACAUUUCCAUCCAUGUCCUUUUUCUUCUGAUAGAUCCACUUGCACUCUAUGGCUUUAACACCAUCAGGCGGGUCAACCAAGUUCCAAACUUGAUUGUCUCCCAUGGACUCUAUUUCGGAUUGCAUGGCACUCUGCCAUUUUUCGGAGUCUGGGUCCAUCAUUGCUUCUGCAUAUGUCGCAGGCUCAUCAUUGUCCAACAAUAAUAUUUCCCGCAUUUCGCGGAGCCUUGCCGACCUUCGUGGUUGUGGCGGUGCUUCUCUUGCCAUGGGUAUCUCAACUUGUUCUGCUACGUUAGCAUCACUCAUUGAUUCUUGCCCGAUUGGCUCAUCUUGAACUUCUUCAAGAUGCACUGUCUUUCCACUCUUUUCUCCUUUGAGAAACUCUUUCUCUAGGAAAACCCCGUUUCGAGCGACAAACACUUUGCCUUCUGAUCGGUUGUAGAAAUAAUAUCCCAAGGUUUCCUUUGGAUAUCCCACGAAAAUGCACUUAUCCGACUUGGGUGUGAUCUUGUCUGACUGAAGUCGCUUGACAAACACUUCACAUCCCCAAAUCAUAUCAGACGAACCAUCACAACAUAAUAUACAUGUUAUUCCCUUUGCCUCACGAUAUUUGGUCUAGCUUCAAGCCGACCGCUCUUUCUCGAUCCUGUGAUUCGGAAUCCCUUUGUAGGUUAACUCUUAACCGUACGUAGCAUGGCCAUGCAUUUUCGGAUCCGAUCACUCGAGGGCCCCAGAGAUAUCACUCUCAAUCAGAGAGGGGCAAAUCCCAUCUUGAUUGACCAUAUCUCAUAGCAUGCUUCUUGACAAACUCGAAAGCUACCUUUAUAACUACCCUGUUACGGCGUAGCGUUUGAUGGCCCCUAAGUAGGUCGAUCCACAUCUAGAAUACAUGCGACAAUCUCAGGUCUAAGGACAAAGCGUAUAUGUUGUUUAAAGAGAGAACUACUUCUCGUGUUGGGUCAGUCCCAACACAUGUCUCCACAUGUGUUCACAUUAUUAGUUCAACAUCUCCAUGUCCAUGACUUGUGAAACAUAGUCAUCAACUAAUACAUGUGCUAGUCUAAUAUUCAUGUGUGUCCUCACAUGAACUCCGACUAGGGACAACUUUAGAAUAACCAUACAAGUAAAGAGUUUCACAUACAAUUCACAUAAUUGCAAAUCAAUUCAAGUAGCCUUCAAUGGAUAUUCAAUGUACACAACAUACAAAUCAUGGAUACAAAUGGAAUAUCAUCAUCUCUAUGAUUGCCUCUAGGGCAUACCUCCAACAG